GCUGGGCGAGGUGACGCAGGCCUGUAAUCCCAGUGACUAGGGAGGCUGAGGCAUGAGGAUCACAGAUUUCAGGACAGCCUGAGCAAUUUUGGUAAGGCCCUAAACAAUUUAGUGAGAACCUGUCUCAA
RNAcentral lists this small RNA (128 nucleotides) under Marmota monax (woodchuck). Lineage: Eukaryota; Metazoa; Chordata; Mammalia; Rodentia; Sciuridae. The record is from RNAcentral.